CCUAGGUGGAGGAGAAGAAGGAAAUGAAGGUUUGCGAUGGAGGCUAAGAGAGCAAUAUACUGAGAAAUACCAGUAGUAAGAGAAAUACAAUUGAAUGUAGCAAAAAUAUUGCUUCAAAAUUUCUUCUGCUACUCGUAUUUCUCACUAUAUUGCUCAUCGUUGAAGCAGGACAUGGGUGUCGCCUUUCUUGAGCUCCAGCUUCUUGAUUGACUCAGUGCAUUGAACAGAUUUGUGGUUUUAAAUCUUGUUUCUUAAGUCGACCAUUUCAUUGGCAAUACAGCAAGAAAGGAUCGGAGGUGCAAGAGAAGAAAGGAUCGGAGGUGCAAGAGAAUAAUCCACAUCUUUGUGGUGGAUUACAAUGGAUCCGAAAGAAUGGCUGUCGCCGUCCAUUUUCUGAUUUUUUCCCGGUGCUUUUUAGAGGGAGUUUGUGGGUGAGAGAGAAUCCAUUUUGAAAUUGAGAGAGAAGGCGGGCGAAAGUGGUGGAUGAGUUUGAAAAAGAAGUCAUCCCUGAGGAGGAGAAAUUGAGAGGGGUUUUCGAUUCACAGAUUCCAAAGGAGCUGCGGAAACAGAGUGGGUGUCUGUUUCGAUGAUUAACAGUCUCAUUGGGGGGCUCAUGCGUUACCGCAAAUGUCUACUUUCUCACCAAGAAUUGUAUACAUCUCAAAGAGAUUUUAUAUUAUUUGUUACAAUGGGAAUUCAUUAUUUUUAA
Cryptomeria japonica (Japanese cedar) is the source of this 709-nucleotide long non-coding RNA. RefSeq lists it as uncharacterized. Lineage: Eukaryota; Viridiplantae; Streptophyta; Pinopsida; Cupressales; Cupressaceae. The record is from RefSeq and is a predicted model, not a curated record. The transcript is spliced from 2 exons.